AUUCCUUCAAGACCAAAUGCUAUUGAGAUCACUACCGGUUAACCCAAUCAAUAGUCAAGAAAGAACAACAUAUGAGAAACGUACAAAAGCAAGGUUUAGCAUUCAACUAAAAAUGGGAAAAGAGGCAAUUGCGUAUGCAGAUGAGAUCUAGUAAAAAAAAAAUAACUACGCCAUUGAUUUUUUCUUCUCUUCCUCGAGCUGCUGCAGCUCUGCCAGUCUUUGGGCCCACGCUCUCUCCCUUGCCACUGCAGCCAUCUUACGCUCUACUCUCUUGAUAAUUUUCUUCCUUUUAGCCUCCUGUAACUGAGCUUUCCGCUUUUUUGCCUCCGACUUUAUAAAGGCCCUGUGUUGCUUUAUGCGCUUCUUCUCAUUCCUUCUCUUGACACUUCCUUCAUUAGGAUUACUGGGUUGAAUAGGUUGGCCUGGUACAUGCUUAACCCAAGCAUACGGCCCAGGAGGUCUCAAGCUGGCCCUUUUUCGACGAGGCUUAUCCUGAGGUCUUCGCUUUGGAAAGCGAGAGUCAGUUAAUCCAUCGAAAUGGUUCGACUCAGAGAAGACGCUGAAAUGACUCGAAAUCUGGAACCAUGGAGACUGACGGAGGGCGAAACAGAAGUCGAGUUUUGGAGAUGGAGAAGGUGGAAAAAGAGAUGUUGUAGGGGAAGUGGAGUUACGGGAUAAUAGGGUUCUUGAGAGCGAACGACUUACGCUUCUUAGAGCUCCAAAUCCCAUUUUUUAGGCUGCCAGCGAACUACGAUCGCCGAACAUAGCAAAUUAGCAAUGCCAAGUUACUGCUAAGCCAAGUUCAAGUCGAGUUAAUCGGGUAUUUCCAUGGCCUGUUUCGAGAGGUUUUCAAAUCGGGUUAAC
RNAcentral lists this unclassified non-coding RNA (864 nucleotides) under Hevea brasiliensis (rubber tree). The record is from RNAcentral. Lineage: Eukaryota; Viridiplantae; Streptophyta; Magnoliopsida; Malpighiales; Euphorbiaceae.